CUUUCUCUUUCUUUCUGUCAACUGAACUCUGUCUGAUACUACCUCUGUUUCUCAGUGUGAUUGUUGGCUUACAUUUGGGUAGCAUUCAUUUGCUCUGAUUCUUUAAGAUUGCUGCAUUUUCUGGGUUUUAGUUACUUUGGACUAAAACUGUGUAAAAUGGUGAAGAAUUGAAGAGCUUUCUUUUAAAAAAAGAGCUGAAACUGCUUCUGGACUGAGAAAGAAGGUUUGGGAUUGAUCAUAAGGAAAAAUCGUUCUUCGGCAUUUGCAAUUUCAGCAAAGAUAGUCAAGGGGCAAGCUAAAGCGACUUUUGUUGGUAAUGUC
Molecule: long non-coding RNA, 321 nt
Organism: Hibiscus syriacus
Lineage: Eukaryota; Viridiplantae; Streptophyta; Magnoliopsida; Malvales; Malvaceae
Exons: 3
Source: RefSeq, a predicted model, not a curated record